This 3655-nucleotide unclassified non-coding RNA is filed under the name Bactrocera latifrons. RNAcentral's name for it is "formin-like protein CG32138, transcript variant X6". Lineage: Eukaryota; Metazoa; Arthropoda; Insecta; Diptera; Tephritidae. The record is from RNAcentral.
CGGCGGAUAGCAGUGGUGGCUCCGGCGUAUCCGGACCAGGACCAGGUGGCGGUGUGGGCGUUGGCCGCUUAGCAUCCAUAAUGGGCGCAGUUAGUUCACGCCAUAUCUCUACCAGUGAUGCGCUGGUAGAGGAAGGCGGUGGAGGUAAUAAUCAUGAUCAUGGCAACGGAAAUUGUUCAAUUUCAAACAAAAAUGGCAUAACCACAGCUACUGGUGGUUUUCUACAAAAACAAGAUUUGCAUUAUGAUAUCGGUUCGAGUUCUCAGUAUCAUCAUGUACGUCAACCAAGCGUUCGCAGUCGAAGUCAGCAACCCAUGCCAACCACAGAUGAAUUGGAUAGGCGUUUCGCAAAAGUUUUGGCUUCAAUGGACUUACCUCCGGACAAAGCGAAGUUGCUCAAGAAUUAUGAUGAUGAAAAGAAAUGGGAUAUAAUAUGUGAUCAGGAUAUGGUGCAAGCGAAGGAUCCGCCCUCUCAUUAUUUGAAUAAGUUGCGCACAUAUCUGGACCCAAAAGCGUCUCGCAGUCAUCGGCUAUUUUUCCUCUACUUUCUUUGUCAGAAACGCAAAAUGGUCGGUGAAUCCACAUCGACGCAGGUGCUGCGUGAUCUUGAGAUCUCGCUGCGCACCAACCACAUUGAGUGGGUAAAGGAGUUUCUUGAUGACACGAAUCAGGGUCUCGACGCACUUGUUGAUUACCUAAGUUUUCGACUGCAGAUGAUGCGACAUGAGCAGCGUGUCGAAGAAGCACUCUCCGAUUCCGAUGAGCGUCUAAACAUGACAAGUAGUCAGACGGUGGGAGGUGGCGGCACCGGUUCGGGUUCAGCGGAUGGUCUUUGCAGCACAUCGGUGGGAGUUAGUUCACCGCUGAGUGGUAGCAUCAACAUGGAUGGUAUGCGACAUCACCAACAUUCACACGUGGCUCACUCGGGCGGCAGUCUUAAUGGUUUUUUGCGUCCCUCGCUGGCCGAGGUGCUCGACAGCCCCAGCAUUAGAAGACGCUCCAGGCAUAUAGCGAAAUUGAAUAUGGGCGCAUCUACAGAUGAUAUACAUGUGUGUAUAAUGUGCUUGCGCGCCAUAAUGAACAACAAAUACGGAUUUAACAUGGUAAUACAACAUCGUGAGGCCAUUAAUUGCAUUGCGUUGAGUUUGAUACACAAGUCUCUGCGUACCAAAGCGCUAGUGCUGGAGCUUUUAGCUGCCAUUUGUCUGGUGAAGGGUGGCCACGAGAUCAUUUUGUCCUCGUUCGACAACUUUAAGGACGUGUGUCAGGAGAAGCGACGCUUUCAAACACUCAUGGAAUACUUCAUGAAUUUUGAAGCCUUCAAUAUUGACUUUAUGGUUGCGUGCAUGCAGUUCAUGAACAUUGUGGUUCACUCUGUGGAAGAUAUGAAUUAUCGCGUUCAUCUGCAAUAUGAAUUCACAGCUCUUGGUCUUGACAAAUAUCUGGAAAAACUACGUAUGACUGAAUCAGAAGAGCUAAAGGUGCAAAUUUCGGCAUAUUUGGAUAACGUAUUCGACGUGGCGGGACUAAUGGAGGAUUCUGAAACGAAGACUGCAGCGUUGGAACGUGUGCAGGAGCUUGAAGAUCAGUUGGAACGAGAAGUGGAUCGCAACUCAGAAUUCAUGUAUAAAUUGGCUGAGCUCGAGACAGAAGUUGCUGUAUUGAAAGCAGAACGAGAGGAUUUAAUGACGACAAAACUGAAAUUUGACGAAGAGGUCACAACGUUGCGUCGCAUACUCAAACAAAAUGAACAAGAGCUGAAGAAACGUGAAUCUCUACUUCAAAGCAAAAACCUCGAAUUACAAACGUUGACUCGUUCAUUACCACGUUCUGGUUCAAAUAGUGAAACAUCCUUACAAAAUGGUGGGGCGUCACCAGAUAAAUGCAUGUCACCUCCACUGCCACCUCCGCCGCCACCAUUGCCGUCUGCCAUGUCACCUGCCAGUUCGGCGCCUCCACCGCCACCUCCGCCCGCACCACCUGCUCCGCCACCACCGCCCAUAACGCACGGCGGUUCCGUGAGUAAUGGCGGUACAUUAUCACCUACAAUGUCGACAAACGGCGGCUCCAUAGGAUCACGUUCACCGCCAUAUGGCUCUGGUCCAAAUGGUGGACCUAUGAUAUGUGCGUUCCAACCGCCACCUCCACCUGUGGCCGGUUUCAUGCCCGCUCCAGACGGUGCCAUGACAAUCAAACGAAAAGUGCCGACCAAAUACAAACUGCCCACGCUUAACUGGAUAGCUUUAAAGCCAAACCAGGUUCGAGGAACUAUUUUCAACGAGUUGGAUGACGAAAAGAUCUUUAAACACAUUGAUUUCAACGAAUUCGAGGAGCGCUUCAAAAUUGGCAUUGGCGGCUCAUUGACAAAUGGUAGUAACACUGAAGUGGAUGGUCUGCACUCAUAUCCCAGUAGGCGCUUCAAGAAACCAGACAAUGUGUCGUUAUUGGAACACACGAGAUUACGAAACAUUGCAAUAUCUCGACGCAAAUUGGAUAUGCCCAUCGAUGAGGUAAUCGCCGCCAUACAUAGUUUAGAUUUGAAGAAACUGUCUCUUGAAAAUGUGGAACUGCUUCAAAAGAUGGUGCCCACUGAUGUUGAGGUCAAAUCUUACAAAGAAUAUAUAGCUGAACGUAAAGAUCAAAACCUACUCACCGAAGAAGACAAAUUCAUGUUGCAGUUAUCGCGGGUUGAACGCAUAUCAUCAAAGCUUUCUAUAAUGAACUACAUGGGAAACUUCUUUGAUUGCCUUCAUCUAAUCAGUCCACAAAUACAAGCUAUAACAACAGCUUCGAACUCGCUUAAGAAAUCGGUGAAAUUCAAAGCUGUGCUGGAAAUAGUCCUCGCAUUUGGCAAUUAUCUCAACAGCAGUAAACGAGGUCCUGCCUAUGGAUUUAAAUUACAGUCGCUUGAUACCCUAAUCGAUACAAAGUCAACCGACAAACGCUCAUCGCUAUUGCACUAUAUUGUGGCUACCAUCAGGCAAAAGUUUCCAGAUCUGCUUAAUUUCGACACUGAGUUGUAUUGCACUGAUAAAGCGUCACAAGUGUCGUUAGAAAAUAUAGUGACAGACGUACAUGACCUAGAAAAGGGCAUGGAACUGGUAAAGAAAGAAGCAGAACAGCGUGUAAAAGGUACACAAACGCAUAUACUACGCGAUUUUCUCAAUAAUUCUGAGGAUAAAUUAAAGAAGAUUAAGAUGGAAUUAAAGAAUGCUCAAGAUGCAUUCAAAGAAUGUGUUGAGUAUUUCGGUGAAUCAUCUCGUAACGCUGAUGCAGCUGCUUUCUUUGCGCUAAUUGUGCGUUUCACUCGAGCUUUCAAAAUUCACGAUCAAGAAAACGAGCAACGCCGCCGCUUGGAACAAGCAGCAGCCCAGGCCGCCAACAAAAAGGAAAGUGACCAAGUGUUAAUGCGCAACAAAAUGAACCAGAAGAAACAACAGAAACUGGGUUGCGUGACUAUGGAAAGCAGUUUACUACACAAAGCGCUUAUUAAUUCUGCGUGAAAAGACAAAGCGCAAUUGUCGCAGAUAAAUAAAAAUCGGAAUUUUAAAGGAUUAGAAAAAUACAAAAUAAUGACGCUGUCAUUAACGAGCUGAAGAGCAAAGCGAAUUCGGUUCGGGAGAAAAAAUUACUGCAGCAGGAUGAGGUUUAUAAC